RNAcentral lists this ribosomal RNA (777 nucleotides) under uncultured Neocallimastigales. RNAcentral describes it as "partial large subunit ribosomal RNA". It matches the Rfam family "Eukaryotic large subunit ribosomal RNA", at positions 24 to 647 of the family's 3401-position model. Lineage: Eukaryota; Fungi; Neocallimastigomycota; Neocallimastigomycetes; Neocallimastigales. The record is from RNAcentral.
UAUCUCUGUAGAGUCUGCAUAUCAAUAAGCGGAGGAAAAGAAACUAACAAGGAUUCCCUUAGUAACGGCGAGUGAAGCGGGAAGAGCUCAAAUUUGAAAUCUUCAAGGUUCUACCUUGACGAAUUGUAGUUUAAAGAAGUGUUUUCUGUUAGAUGAGUAGCAAAAGUUCCUUGGAAUGGGACAUCAUAGAGGGUGAGAAUCCCGUAUUUGGUUAUUCAUUCUAGCUUUGUGAUACACUUUCAAAGAGUCGAAUUGUUUGGGAAUGCAGUCCAAAAUGGGUGGUAAAUUUCAUCUAAAGCUAAAUAUUGGCGAGAGACCGAUAGCGAACAAGUACCGUGAGGGAAAGAUGAAAAGAACUUUGAAAAGAGAGUUAAACAGUACGUGAAAUUGUCAAAAGGGAAGCGUUUGACACCAGUGUUGUUUUUCCGAAAAUCAAUUACGAAUGGCUUGAUUCUGUGUUGUAUUGACCUUAUCAGCUUUCUUCACUUUUUUCGAGUCUUUCUUAAUGCACUUUUCGGUUAACAAGUCAACAUCAAUUUCUUUUGUUGUAAAAGAGUCAUUCGGAAGGUGGCUUUCUUUUCGGAGAAAGUGUUUAUAGCCCUUAUGCCUCUACAAUCGGAGAGAUUGAGGUCUGCAGCGUAGAUCCUUCGGGGUUAGAUACACUUGUGCUAAGUUGUAGCUUUUCAUAGACAACUUGUUGACUAUGUUUAGUCAUGCGGCUUACUCGCUUAGUGCUAUUUUACCUACGCUUAGGAUGUUGACGAGACUGUCGAUCUC